GAGAAAUAUGGAUUCCCUAUCAUGUCUUUUGUUCUUGUUCUAGAUUGGUUUACUUUUAUUUUAUGUGCAUUCCUGUUUGGCCCGUGGAUGCGUGCAGGCGCCCCGUGCUGCACCUCUCAAGGGGGAUGCCCUUACAGAGAGGCAGGCUCCAGACUACUGAGUAUUAAGUCCUUAACUGAGAAGUCUGGUUCUGUGCUCAUCUUCUUCAUUGUGAGAGCUCCAGCCGGCAGAGGAUGUCAAUAUUUGUCUAGUCAUCCUUGGCUGUCCCAGGACAAACUCUGUAGACCAAGCUGACAUCAAACUCAGAGAUCUGCUGCCUCUGCCUUCCAAAGGCUGGGAUUAAAGAAGUGUGUAAUUCCAGUGCUAAGAAGAUUUUUAGAUCCUUUUCCAACAGCCUACAAAUAGGAAUUACAUAACAGGACAUGUAUUCAAAGCCAUAGAUUCCUAAAAGCUGCAGGAGACUGAUUGACCGAGUGUUCUUUCUCAUUGUGGACGAUGUACUUGAAGGUGUCUAGCCUAAGCUUAGAUGUCCUUCUCUCUGAGGGCAGAUGGGCGGGGUUUGUUGCCUUCUGAGCAGCUUCCACACACGGAUGUGGUAGUUGUUCCUAGAGUCCAUGUUUUCACAAACAGCCAGAAACAAAUCCAAUCUCAGCUCCACCAUUGGCUGAAUGCUGUAGAGCACCCAAAGAAAGUGAAUGUUUCACAGUUCACUGUCACAGGACCCUCACAAGGUAUGCGCCUGUUAGAAGCUAGAAAAGGAAAAUGAAAAGGAAAAUACCAAUGGCAUUGUCUUGGGAAGGAGCUGCCUGGAUGGGUCUGUUUCUCAUUGGAAGUGGUAGUUAGGGGUUGACCGCAACUGAACUUUUCCAUUGUGGUUCAAGGACUAGUGACUUGCCUAUCACAGGACAGCAAUCUUAAAUAUAUAGAAUCUUUUGAAGAGAUGACCUGGCUACCCUGGAGACAAGAAGAUCAGGGGUGGGUUGCCAAGGGAUGCUUCUUUGAGGAAUACUGAGUCUAAUUCAUCUCAAGCCAAGGUAUGACUUUUCUCCCUACCCUGACUGAUGACAUGCAAGGCAGGAGGCUGCCAUGUUGCUCCUUUUCUGUCAUGAUAGUUGUGGCUAACUGUGUGUACAGGAAAUACAGGUUAACAAAAGAAAGUC
This 1160-nucleotide long non-coding RNA is filed under the name Mus caroli (Ryukyu mouse). RNAcentral describes it as "lncRNA (MGP_CAROLIEiJ_G0005789.1)". Lineage: Eukaryota; Metazoa; Chordata; Mammalia; Rodentia; Muridae. The record is from RNAcentral.